This 403-nucleotide ribosomal RNA is filed under the name Verrucomicrobiota bacterium. RNAcentral describes it as "Verrucomicrobia bacterium partial 16S ribosomal RNA". It matches the Rfam family "Bacterial small subunit ribosomal RNA", at positions 355 to 776 of the family's 1533-position model. The record is from RNAcentral. Lineage: Bacteria; Pseudomonadati; Verrucomicrobiota.
UGGGGAAUAUUGCACAAUGGGCGCAAGCCUGAUGCAGCAACGCCGCGUGAACGAUGAAGGUCUUCGGAUCGUAAAGUUCUGUUGCAGGGGAAGAUAAUGACGGUACCCUGUGAGGAAGCUCCGGCUAACUACGUGCCAGCAGCCGCGGUAAUACGUAGGGGGCUAGCGUUAUCCGGAUUUACUGGGCGUAAAGGGUGCGUAGGUGGUCUUUCAAGUCGGUGGUUAAAGGCUACGGCUCAACCGUAGUUAGCCUCCGAAACUGGAAGACUUGAGUGCAGGAGAGGAAAGUGGAAUUCCCAGUGUAGCGGUGAAAUGCGUAGAUAUUGGGAGGAACACCAGUAGCGAAGGCGGCUUUCUGGACUGCAACUGACACUGAGGCACGAAAGCGUGGGUAGCAAACAGG